This is a long non-coding RNA of Panthera uncia (snow leopard), 514 nucleotides long. RefSeq lists it as uncharacterized. The record is from RefSeq and is a predicted model, not a curated record. The transcript has 3 exons. NCBI's taxonomy places the organism in Eukaryota, Metazoa, Chordata, Mammalia, Carnivora, Felidae.
GCGAUGAAGGUGGCCUCCAGACAAGCUCCAGCAUUGGGCGAAAGCUGUUGAUGAGGCUCUUCAGGGGGAUGAGACUGCCAGUGGUGCCGCGCACAGACUGGUCUGAAUAAAGAAUUUCAUAUCUCUUUGUUUCAUUAUCAUUAAAAGAAGACAUAAGUGAAAGGCUUUCAGUGGGAGUGGUAUAAUGAAGACAGAGAAAUGUGACAGAGGUGAAUAAAAGAGCACCCUGGAGAAAAAGAAGAAUCUAAGCUGUCAAGGAGGAGGGGAAGCCAUGGCCUACACACACAACAAAUUGACGAUUCCGCCACUUUCAUUACCUUUUAUUGCACUCACCUUCCAUUAUCCUCUUUCUUCUUACUAUUAUAGACUUAUUUUCUCCACCAUAAGACACUUCAGCUUUGGAUCAAGUAAAAUAUGGCCUUCAGUUCUUAUAAACACUAUCCUUAGUAUAACUACAAAUAAGCAUAAAUUAGUAGUAAGUAAAUGUAUAACUAAAUAAAUUCACAAAUAGACA